GGGCCCGUAACUCAGCCUGGACAGAGUGCCUGCCUUCUAAGCAGGAAGUCGCGAGUUCGAAUCUCGUCGGGCCCG
This 75-nucleotide transfer RNA is filed under the name Microcaldota archaeon. RNAcentral's name for it is "tRNA-Arg". It matches the Rfam family "tRNA". Rfam says of the family: Transfer RNA (tRNA) molecules are approximately 80 nucleotides in length. Their secondary structure includes four short double-helical elements and three loops (D, anti-codon, and T loops). Lineage: Archaea; Nanobdellati; Microcaldota. The record is from RNAcentral.